RNAcentral lists this ribosomal RNA (440 nucleotides) under uncultured bacterium. RNAcentral's name for it is "partial 16S ribosomal RNA". It matches the Rfam family "Bacterial small subunit ribosomal RNA", at positions 338 to 795 of the family's 1533-position model. The record is from RNAcentral.
CCUACGGGAGGCAGCAGUGGGGAAUAUUGCACAAUGGGGGAAACCCUGAUGCAGCGACGCCGCGUGAGUGAAGAAGUAAUUCGUUAUGUAAAGCUCUAUCAGCAGGGAAGAAAAUGACGGUACCUGAGUAAGAAGCCCCGUCUAACUAGGUGCAGGAACCCGCGGUAAUACGUAGGGGGCAGGCGUUAUCCGGAUUUACUGGGUGUAAAGGGGGCGUAGACGGGAGUGCAAGUCUGGAGUGAAAGGCGGGGGCCCAACCCCCGGACUGCUCUGGAAACUGUACGGCUGGAGUGCAGGAGAGGUAAGUGGAAUUCCUAGUGUAGCGGUGAAAUGCGUAGAUAUUAGGAGGAACACCAGUGGCGAAGGCGGCUUACUGGACUGUAACUGACGUUGAGGCUCGAAAGCGUGGGGAGCAAACAGGAUUAGAUACCCUUGUAGUC